AAGUCGUAACAAGGUUUCCGUAGGUGAACCUGCGGAAGGAUCAUUAACACAAGUAAAAAAAAACAUUUUACAACACCCUAUUAUGAAUUUAAAUUUUUUAAUUUUAAUUUUUUUUAUAAAACUACAAAAAAAUAUUUAAUUUAUUUGACUAACAUUUUUUUAAUUAAUUUAUUUAAAAUUUUAUAAAACAACUCUUAACAACGGAUAUCUUGGCUCUC
This 218-nucleotide unclassified non-coding RNA is filed under the name fungal sp. RNAcentral's name for it is "partial internal transcribed spacer region". The stretch from base 1 to 46 matches the Rfam family "Eukaryotic small subunit ribosomal RNA", at positions 1786 to 1831 of the family's 1831-position model. The record is from RNAcentral. Lineage: Eukaryota; Fungi.